UAGGGAAUCUUCGGCAAUGGACGAAAGUCUGACCGAGCAACGCCGCGUGAGUGAAGAAGGUUUUCGGAUCGUAAAACUCUGUUGUUAGAGAAGAACAAGGACGUUAGUAACUGAACGUCCCCUGACUGUAUCUAACCAGAAAGCCACGGCUAACUACGUGCCAGCAGCCGCGGUAAUACGUAGGUGGCAAGCGUUGUCCGGAUUUAUUGGGCGUAAAGCGAGCGCAGGCGGUUUCUUAAGUCUGAUGUGGAAGCCCCCGGCUCAACCGGGGAGGGUCAUUGGAAACUGGGAGACUUGAGUGCAGAAGAGGAGAGUGGAAUUCCAUGUGUAGCGGUGAAAUGCGUAGAUAUAUGGAGGAACAACAGUGGCGAAGGCGGCUCUCUGGUCUGUAACUGACGCUGAGGCUCGAAAGAGUGGGGAGCAAACAGG
RNAcentral lists this ribosomal RNA (429 nucleotides) under Gemmatimonadota bacterium. Its description in RNAcentral is "Gemmatimonadetes bacterium partial 16S ribosomal RNA". It matches the Rfam family "Bacterial small subunit ribosomal RNA", at positions 355 to 776 of the family's 1533-position model. Lineage: Bacteria; Pseudomonadati; Gemmatimonadota. The record is from RNAcentral.